Molecule: long non-coding RNA, 606 nt
Organism: Ctenopharyngodon idella (grass carp)
Lineage: Eukaryota; Metazoa; Chordata; Actinopteri; Cypriniformes; Xenocyprididae
Exons: 3
Source: RefSeq, a predicted model, not a curated record
UGAAUUAUUUAGGCUACUGAAAUGCUUCAGAAUGAUAAGUGUUUCUCUGGGAAAACAGUAAAAACAGACAACGUAACUGGCAAUACUGUGUCACUUUCAAACCAAGCAGCUGUUCAACGCAGCGAAUUUGCGUGACAAACUUGAAUUCAACCGAAAUCUGCACGGGGAAUCUUUUGGCCCUCACGGCACAAAAUGACUGUAUCACCCGCGAACAACGGUAUUGCUUGAUAUAUGGAUACAACCCACCCAUUUCCAGGACAGAGGGAUGCAUCUUUCCUAUGGGAUCUCGACUGCUACUGGCAGCUGCACUAACAGCCCAUGACACACAGUAAAGGAUGGGUGGAGUUCACUGAAGUCUUUCCUGAACUUAGGAAUAACGAAGUUUUUCUUUUAGAAAAACACAACAGCAGAGUCCGAGGCAUGUGGAGAUGCUACCUUUUCUCCAAGCAAGCGAGGCCCACCCAGAAUGCUUUGACAUGGAAGAUUCUGCCACCAUUAAUGGAGACAGAUAUGUUACAUUCUGAAGUAUUUAGCUCAACCCACCUGCUCUCACUAAGAAAAUAAAGCUUGGGAGAAUUUCCUUCUCUGGAUAAAUGGGCCAUUGAA